Molecule: ribosomal RNA, 506 nt
Filed under: uncultured bacterium
Lineage: Bacteria
Description: partial 16S ribosomal RNA
Rfam family: Bacterial small subunit ribosomal RNA (bases 20-328)
Source: RNAcentral
GACGAACGCUGGCGGCGUGCUUAACACAUGCAAGUCGAACGGAAAGGCCCUGCUUUUGUGGGGUGCUCGAGUGGCGAACGGGUGAGUAACACGUGAGUAACCUGCCCUUGACUUUGGGAUAACUUCAGGAAACUGGGGCUAAUACCGGAUAGGAGCUCCUGCUGCAUGGUGGGGGUUGGAAAGUUUCGGCGGUUGGGGAUGGACUCGCGGCUUAUCAGCUUGUUGGUGGGGUAGUGGCUUACCAAGGCUUUGACGGGUAGCCGGCCUGAGAGGGUGACCGGACAGAUGGGGACGGAGGCACGCUCGAGAGGGGGAGGGGGGGGGUGGGUGGGGAAGUGGGGGUGAGGGGGGGGGGCCGCAGCCAGGAGAGGCGGGUGGGGGGUGAGGGCGUGUGGGUGGUAAACGGCUUUGGGGGAGGAGGAGGGGGGGGGGAGGGGAGUGGGAAAAGAAGCACGGUCUGACUACGUGCUGGCAGCGGAUUAUAGUCGAAUAGAAGGCGGCUGAAC